This 1252-nucleotide long non-coding RNA is filed under the name Gopherus agassizii (Agassiz's desert tortoise). Its description in RNAcentral is "lncRNA (ENSGAGG00000010697.1)". Lineage: Eukaryota; Metazoa; Chordata; Testudines; Testudinidae. The record is from RNAcentral.
CCCCCUCCUCCAAAACUACGCCCCAGAUUUUCCAGCAAGCCCCACUUUGGAGCAGUUAAAACCCUGCUGGCUUGUCAAACCGGAGAGCAAUCCGCUCCGAAUUUAACUGCUUCCUGUUUAAAACCAGCAAAAAAGCCAUCCAGUACCUUUCUCUCUCCCCCCCCCACGUUUAAUCUCAACAGCAGUGCUAUAAUUCUGUGUCAUCGCUAAGAAACGCUGCUAGAAUUCAUCCUGUUCGCCUCCAUGGCUGUGGAUAUAGGGGCCAUAUUUGCAUAUAUGGUAAUAAGCUUCUAAUUGCCAGGCUGAUGGGCUUUGCUGAUCGAUUGCUAUAAAUACACAGGUUCAGAAAGCUUUGCAAUAGUGCUCCCCCCGCCUCCUUUUCAAAAUAUCCUUGCAAUGUACCAGUUUGAGCUCCCAAUAUUUGCAUAUCAAUUUUUUUUAAAUAUAAUACGUAUACUUUACGUAUAGGCUACGUGGAAGUCUCCUUUUGCGGCUCCUAUAUAUCCUUACGCCUCGCGCCUCUUCCCCCCUCUGUUUUUCUUUCCUUGUCAAUUCCAUUUUCAGGUUCCUCCUUGAAGAGUUUUUUUUUUUCUCCUCCGAGGAUUAAAGGAAGAGGGGAGAGAGAGAGAAAGGAAAGAAAGACAGAAAAGCUGCAGAAAGCAAUUUCUCGUCUAGCGCUAUAAAAACAGGAAGAUUGACGCGAAGAUUCCUUCCCCAUCUGGGCAGCGAAAAGCGAGGGGGCUUCGGGGCAGACCCACGAGAACAGAUGCUGCUGGCGAAGGUAACAGGGCCUAGCCUGGGUGAUAUUUGAUGUUCUGCGUGUGCCACCUUCUCUCUGGAUGGUGAAUCAUUGGUCUUUAGGUCCUGUGAAAGUUCUCUUGGAAUCCCCGGGUGAAGGAUGCAAGCUGGAAAGAAAGAAAGAGAAUUUGAUCAUCAAAGAAAUAAAGAGCAGCAAACUCCUAAAAAUCUGGAAAUCUGCGCUAAUUGCUUCUGAAUGUCUGUCUGAAAAAUUAUCAAAUUGAUGCCGUCGUGCUUUUUUUGACAGCCUGUCUGUUACAGUUUUUUUUUUAAAUAUUCAUGCAUGGAAAUCUAAUUACUAGGCAAAUUUAAUGAUAAUGAGAUGAAGGCACCUUGUUCAUAUUUUCUCAGCCUCUGUCUUGUUCAGAAUGUUUUGGUUUUUUUACGACUGCCUUUCUUGUACUUAAAAAAAAAAAUGCCAAAAAUAAAAUGUGGAUUGCUGAAAAUGUUUGCA